This 1977-nucleotide ribosomal RNA is filed under the name human metagenome. RNAcentral's name for it is "bacterial LSU rRNA". It matches the Rfam family "Bacterial large subunit ribosomal RNA", at positions 487 to 2483 of the family's 2925-position model. The record is from RNAcentral.
AUAGCGCAUAGUACCGUGAGGGAAAGGUGAAAAGAACCCCGGGAGGGGAGUGAAAAAGAACCUGAAACCCUGUGUUUACAAGCAGUGAAAGUGCGAGCAAGGCACGAUCACGUACUUUUUGUAGAACGGACCGGCGAGUUACGUUAUGCAGCAAGGUUAAGAACUGAAGGUUCGGAGCCGAAGCGAAAGCGAGUCUGAAUAGGGCGAUAGUUGCAUGACGUAGACCCGAAACCGGGUGACCUAUCCAUGAGCAGGUUGAAGUGGAGGUAAAGCUCCAUGGAGGACCGAACCAGACGUCUGUUGAAAAAGGCGGGGAUGACUUGUGGAUAGGGGAGAAAUUCCAAUCGAACCCGGAGAUAGCUGGUUCUCCUCGAAAUAGCUUUAGGGCUAGCCUCAUGGAUCAUUGAUGGGGGUAGAGCACUGAAUGUGCGCGGGGGCCACAAAGCCUACCAAACGCUAUCAAACUUCGAAUACCAUACAAUGCAGACCAUGGGAGUCAGUCCGCGAGAGAUAAGUUCCGCGGGCAAAAGGGGAACACCCCAGAUCAACCGCUAAGGUCCCCAAGUUCACGUUAAGUGGAGAAGGAUGUGGAAUUGCACAGACAACCAGGAUGUUGGCUCAGAAGCAGCCACACAUUUAAAGAGUGCGUAAUAGCUCACUGGUCGAGUGAUUGUGCGCCGAAGAUGUCCGGGGCUAAACGUGACACCGAAGCGAUGGGUGCAUCUGAAAGGAUGCGCGGUAGAGGAGCAAUGUGCAGAGGCAGAAGCCGUAUCGAGAGGCACGGUGGACACUGCACAAGAGAGAAUGCCGGUAUGAGUAGCGAGAGGCAUGCGAGAAACAUGCCCGUCGAAAGCCCAAGGUUUCCUGGGGAAGGUUCAUCCGCCCAGGGUAAGUCGGGGCCUAAGCCGAGGACGGAAGUCGUAGGCGAUGGACAGCAGGUGUAGAUUCCUGCACUACCGAUGGAAUGAAGCAGUGACACAGAAGGAUAACUCGAGCAGGGUGAUGGUCAACCCUGUGCAAGCAUCAAGGUUGGGUUGUAGUGAAGUACGCAACCCUAUAAGCUGAGGUGUGAUGCGGACCGAAAUUUCAGUAGGGAAGCGAGUGAGUUCACGCUGGCGAGAAAAGCUGCUAGUACAUCCAAAGGUACCCGUACCGGAAACCGACGCAGGUGGGCGAGGAGAGAAUCCUGAGACGAACGGGAGAACCCUUGUUAAGGAACUCGGCAAAAUGACCCCGUAACUUCGGGAGAAGGGGUGCCUCGAAAGAGGCCGCAGAGAAUAGUCACAAGCGACUGUUUAGCAAAAACACAGGUAUCUGCGAAAGCGAGAGCUGACGUAUAGGUGCUGACACCUGCCCGGUGCUGGAAGGUUAAGGGAACAUGUUAGAGCAAUCGAAGCAUCGAACCGAAGCCCCAGUAAACGGCGGCCGUAACUAUAACGGUCCUAAGGUAGCGAAAUUCCUUGUCGGGUAAGUUCCGACCCGCACGAAUGGUGUAACGACUUGUGAGCUGUCUCAACAGGGGGCCCGGUGAAAUUGAAGUAUGGGUGAAGAUGCCCAUUACCCGCGACUGGACGGAAAGACCCCGUAGAGCUUUACUGCAGCCUGAUAUUGAGUUUCGGUAACUGAUGCACAGGAUAGGUGGGAGUCUGAGAGACAUGGGUUUCGGCUCAUGAGGAGACGAUGUUGGGAUACCACUCUUCGGUUACUGAAAUUCUAACAUAGCUCUGUGAAACCAGAGGAUGGACAGUGUCAGGUGGACAGUUUGACUGGGGCGGUCGCCUCCGAAAGAGUAACGGAGGCGCCCAAAGGUACCCUCAGAAUGGAUGGAAACCAUUCGAAGAGAGCAAAGUCAGAAGGGUGCUUGACUGCGAGACCAACAAGUCGAGCAGGUACGAAAGUAGGGCUUAGUGAUCCGGCGGUAAGAGAGUGGAAUUGCCGUCGCUCAACGGAUAAAAGCUACCUCGGGGAUAACAGGCU